GAUGAACGCUGACAGAAUGCUUAACACAUGCAAGUCAACUUGAAUUUGGGUUUUUAACUUAGGUUUGGGUGGCGGACGGGUGAGUAACGCGUAAAGAACUUGCCUCACAGCUAGGGACAACAUUUGGAAACGAAUGCUAAUACCUAAUAUUAUGAUAAUAGGGCAUCCUAUAAUUAUGAAAGCUAUAAGCGCUGUGAGAGAGCUUUGCGUCCCAUUAGCUAGUUGGAGAGGUAACGGCUCACCAAGGCUAUGAUGGGUAGCCGGCCUGAGAGGGUGAUCGGCCACAAGGGGACUGAGACACGGCCCUUACUCCUGCGGGAGGCAGCAGUGGGGAAUGUUGGACAAUGGACCGAGAGUCUGAUCCAGCAAUUCUGUGUGCACGAUGAAGUUUUUCGGAAUGUAAAGUGCUUUCAGUUGGGAAGAAACAAAUGACGGUACCAACAGAAGAAGUGACGGCUAACUACGUG
This 467-nucleotide ribosomal RNA is filed under the name uncultured bacterium. RNAcentral's name for it is "partial 16S ribosomal RNA". It matches the Rfam family "Bacterial small subunit ribosomal RNA", at positions 28 to 507 of the family's 1533-position model. The record is from RNAcentral.